Molecule: ribosomal RNA, 458 nt
Filed under: Streptomyces sp. XM-11-7
Lineage: Bacteria; Bacillati; Actinomycetota; Actinomycetes; Kitasatosporales; Streptomycetaceae
Also listed under: 1 other name
Description: bacterial SSU rRNA
Rfam family: Bacterial small subunit ribosomal RNA
Source: RNAcentral
CAUGCAAGUCGAACGAUGAACCACUUCGGUGGGGAUUAGUGGCGAACGGGUGAGUAACACGUGGGCAAUCUGCCCUGCACUCUGGGACAAGCCCUGGAAACGGGGUCUAAUACCGGAUACUGACCCUCGCAGGCAUCUGCGAGGUUCGAAAGCUCCGGCGGUGCAGGAUGAGCCCGCGGCCUAUCAGCUUGUUGGUGAGGUAAUGGCUCACCAAGGCGACGACGGGUAGCCGGCCUGAGAGGGCGACCGGCCACACUGGGACUGAGACACGGCCCAGACUCCUACGGGAGGCAGCAGUGGGGAAUAUUGCACAAUGGGCGAAAGCCUGAUGCAGCGACGCCGCGUGAGGGAUGACGGCCUUCGGGUUGUAAACCUCUUUCAGCAGGGAAGAAGCGAAAGUGACGGUACCUGCAGAAGAAGCGCCGGCUAACUACGUGCCAGCAGCCGCGGGUAAUUCA